AUACGGAGGAUCCGAGCGUUAUCCGGAUUUAUUGGGUUUAAAGGGUGCGCAGGCGGCCAUUUAAGUCAGCGGUUAAAUCGUGGGGCUCAACCCCAUUCUGCCGUUGAUACUGGGUGGCUUGAUUGCGGUCGAGGUUGGCGGAAUUCGUUGUGUAGCGGUGAAAUGCAUAGAUAUGACGAGGAACACCGAUUGCGUAGGCAGCUGACCAGACCGCAAAUGACGCUCAUGCACGAAAGUGCGGGGAUCGAACAGGAUUAGAUACCCUGGUAGUCCGCACAGUAAACGAUGAAUACUUGUUUUCGGCGAUAUAAUGUCGGAGGCAAAGCGAAAGCGAUAAGUAUUCCACCUGGGGAGUACGCCGGCAACGGUGAAACUCAAAUGAAUUGACGGGG
Molecule: ribosomal RNA, 392 nt
Filed under: uncultured bacterium
Lineage: Bacteria
Description: partial 16S ribosomal RNA
Rfam family: Bacterial small subunit ribosomal RNA
Source: RNAcentral